Molecule: microRNA, 20 nt
Filed under: Caenorhabditis remanei
Lineage: Eukaryota; Metazoa; Nematoda; Chromadorea; Rhabditida; Rhabditidae
Description: crm-miR-244-3p
Gene: crm-miR-244-3p
Source: miRBase by way of RNAcentral
UACCGCUUUUCGGCUAAAGG